This is a non-coding RNA of Cyanistes caeruleus (blue tit), 383 nucleotides long. The record is from RefSeq and is a predicted model, not a curated record. Lineage: Eukaryota; Metazoa; Chordata; Aves; Passeriformes; Paridae.
UUACCUUGAUUUGGCACUUCUGGCAGUGCGGGAGUUGAAUUUGUCAGCCCUUCAUGUGCUGAGAGCUCUCCUGGGCUGUUUUUGCCUUGCCAGGGCUGGCUGUUUGUGAUGUUUUUGUGUCAAUUUGACCCAUUACUUGCUGUAAGCUUAUUUCUUUUGCAGCCUGCAGGUGAAUUGCAGUACAAAGAUCCUUCCUGCCAAGGAUUUGGCUCAGUUGUUGCUAGGAAGAGCUUGUCAGCCAAACUUGGCAUCCAGUGGGGAGUUCUGUGACUUCCAGGACUGAUCUCAAAGCUUAUUGAUGAUUAUUCUUUUCAACACGUUUCAUGAAAGAAGACUUCUGUAAACUGCCUGCUGGUUAAGCCCUGGGAGAUUUUCCUGUAUCU